Non-coding RNA from Pelobates cultripes (western spadefoot toad), 267 nucleotides. The record is from the annotation of a GenBank genome assembly. Lineage: Eukaryota; Metazoa; Chordata; Amphibia; Anura; Pelobatidae.
CUUCAACUAGUCAACAAAUGCGCUGCAACAGGUGCGCUCCCAGAAGAAAUGCUCUUGGCACAUAUCUCUACUCUCCCCAAACCCGGCAAACCCCCUACACAAUGCAAAAACUUCCGGCCUAUAUCCCUUCUAAAUGGAGAUGCCAAGCUAUACGCGAAGCUUCUCAGCAACCGACUCGCCCCCCUCCUGCAUAAAAUAAUCCACAACGACCAAUCUGGGUUUAUCAGAGGCCGCCAAGGCUCGGACAACACCAGAAAAAUUUUAAAC